UACAGGGGGUGCAAACGUUGCUCGGAAUCAUUGGGCGUAAAGCGCACGUAGGCGGUUCGUUAUGUCGGAUGUGAAAGCCCUUGGCUUAACCGAGGAAGUGCAUCCGAAACUGGCGAGCUAGAGUACUAAAGAGGAUCGCGGAAUUCCCGGUGUAGAGGUGAAAUUCGUAGAUAUCGGGGAGGAACACCGGUGGCGAAGGCGGCGAUCUGGGUAGAUACUGACGCUGAGGUGCGAAAGCGUGGGGAGCAAACA
Molecule: ribosomal RNA, 252 nt
Filed under: uncultured bacterium
Lineage: Bacteria
Description: partial 16S ribosomal RNA
Rfam family: Bacterial small subunit ribosomal RNA
Source: RNAcentral